Molecule: transfer RNA, 72 nt
Filed under: Euglena clara
Lineage: Eukaryota; Euglenozoa; Euglenophyceae; Euglenales; Euglenaceae
Description: tRNA-Gly
Rfam family: tRNA
About the family: Transfer RNA (tRNA) molecules are approximately 80 nucleotides in length. Their secondary structure includes four short double-helical elements and three loops (D, anti-codon, and T loops).
Source: RNAcentral
GCAGAUGUAGCUCAGUGGUAGAGCGCAACCUUGCCAAGGUUGAUGCCAUGGGUUCGAAUCCCAUUAUCUGCU